Molecule: long non-coding RNA, 1665 nt
Filed under: Homo sapiens (human)
Lineage: Eukaryota; Metazoa; Chordata; Mammalia; Primates; Hominidae
Description: HSALNT0116129
Source: RNAcentral
CACAUACACUCACACACCCCGUCCCUUUCCCUCCUCGCAGAAGCCGAGGAGAUGCCAUGUGAGGGUGCAGCGAGGAGUUGGGCUGUCUAAAAGCAAAGAAAGAGAUUGCAUCAGACACCGCAUCUGCUGACACCUUGUUCUUGGACUUCCAGCUUCCAAAACCGCGAGAAAUAAAUGUCUGUGUCUAAACCCCAACCCUACCACCUCAACUGCCGUGUGUGGUGUUUUGUGAUGGCAGCCCCAGCUGACUGAGACACCUGGUUAGACCGGAAUAAGCAGGCUGCAAUCGGUAGCAGUCACCAUUGAACAUCCUUGAAGCAAUUCUUCCAAAAUUACCUUGCAUCAAAGACUGCACAAGAACUGCUCUAAGCGGAAGGACUGAUGUCGGCAACCAGGGUUCCACCAGGGGCUGCAGACAGCCCUUGACCUUCAGGUGGGAAGGUGUCACUGAGUUCAGACCCUCUGGCAAUCCCUAGCUAUCAACAUUUUGAUAAGAAAAUAAGUGGAAAGGUAGAACUGGAAGAUUUUGCUGAAAGAUUGGACAUGGCAUUCAGAGAAACAGAGGUUUUAAUGACAAACUCCAAGUUUUUGGCUGGAGCAACUGGAAGAAUGAGGUUGCCAUGAACCGAAAAGAGAGAUUGCAGAAGUAACCAAAUUUACUCACGUAGGCCAGGAAUUUCUAUGACGUGUUCCAAAUUCAGCCUCUCACUGAACACUUCCAGAGCAAGGCAACAUAAACAUCUGCAAGAAGAACAUUGUGUGAGAAAUAUCAAGUGAGAGUGGAAGAGUCUGCGGAGGGCCUCCCUGGGGCUCACCUGUGCUUUUGCCUGAGCUUCACCGUGUCAAGGAUGCAGCACUUUUUCCCUCUGGAGGAAGCAGCUUUCACCUUGGAAGAAUCUUGACCUUGCCAUUCAAAGUCACCAGACAGGGAAUCUGCCAGUGCCUUGAUCUUAGACUUCCCAGCUUCUGUAACUGUGAGCAAUAAAUGUAUGCUGCUUAUAAACUAUCCAGUCUCAUGCAUUUUGUUAUAGCAAUAUAAACAGAUGAAGACAGACAUAAACAUAUCUUUUUGAGAGAUGCAAUGCAACCCAUACCACCAGGAUUGCCACAUGUUUGCUGAUUUCACCUGGUAGCAAGGCUUAGCUAUCUUGGCUUGAAUGUAAUACCUCCAUCUUUUCUCUUGGUCAUCCUCUUUAAGCAGAGGACUUUUAUCUACCCAAGCAGAAUCCUGUGUUCUUGCUAUUCGAAGUGCAGCCCAGCCUCCUGCAGCCACCACAUCACUUGUGAUGCUUGACAGAAAUGCAGACUCUCUGUUCCCACCUCAAACCUACUGACUUGGGAAUCUGCAGCUUACCAAGAUCUCCAGGUGAUCCACGUACACGUCAAACUUUGAAAAGCAGUGGUUUGCAGAACAAAAAGGAUUCAGCUUCUGAUAUGGUUUGGAUUUGUGUCUGUACCCAAAUCUCAUGUCAAAUUGUAAUCCCCAGUGUUGGAGGAGGAGCCUGGUGAAAGGUAAUUGGAUCACGGGGGCAAACUUCCCCCUUGCUGUUAUCAUGAUAGUGAGUGAGUUCUCAUGAGAGCUGGUUGUUUAAAAGUUUAAAAGCACCUCCCCCUUCGCUCUCUCUUCCACCUUCUCCAGCAAUGUAAAAUGAACCUGCUUCCCCU